GCCCGGCUGGCUCAGUUGGUGGAGUGCAAGACUCUUGAUCUGGGGUCGUGAGUUCGAGCCCCAUGUUGGGGG
Molecule: transfer RNA, 72 nt
Filed under: Ailuropoda melanoleuca (giant panda)
Lineage: Eukaryota; Metazoa; Chordata; Mammalia; Carnivora; Ursidae
Rfam family: tRNA
About the family: Transfer RNA (tRNA) molecules are approximately 80 nucleotides in length. Their secondary structure includes four short double-helical elements and three loops (D, anti-codon, and T loops). Further hydrogen bonds mediate the characteristic L-shaped molecular structure. tRNAs have two regions of fundamental functional importance: the anti-codon, which is responsible for specific mRNA codon recognition, and the 3' end, to which the tRNAs corresponding amino acid is attached (by aminoacyl-tRNA synthetases). tRNAs cope with the degeneracy of the genetic code in two manners: having more than one tRNA (with a specific anti-codon) for a particular amino acid; and 'wobble' base-pairing, i.e. permitting non-standard base-pairing at the 3rd anti-codon position.
Source: Rfam by way of RNAcentral